RNAcentral lists this small RNA (90 nucleotides) under Sinorhizobium meliloti 2011. Its description in RNAcentral is "putative ncRNA". The record is from RNAcentral. Lineage: Bacteria; Pseudomonadati; Pseudomonadota; Alphaproteobacteria; Hyphomicrobiales; Rhizobiaceae.
AUUCGCGCUGCUCGAGGCGGGUGACGGGCAGCACCUUGGAAUAAUUACCCGAGGUGAAGAUUUCGUCGGCCCCCUCGAAAUCGGCCAUGG